Molecule: ribosomal RNA, 253 nt
Filed under: uncultured bacterium
Lineage: Bacteria
Description: partial 16S ribosomal RNA
Rfam family: Bacterial small subunit ribosomal RNA
Source: RNAcentral
UACGGAGGGAGCUAGCGUUGUCCGGAAUCAUUGGGCGUAAAGAGCGUGUAGGCGGUCCGGUAAGUCCGUUGUGAAAGUCAGGGGCUCAACCCUUGAAUGCCGGCGGAUACUGUCGGGCUAGAGUCCGGAAGAGGCAAGUGGAAUUCCCGGUGUAGCGGUGAAAUGCGCAGAUAUCGGGAGGAACACCUAUGGCGAAGGCAGCUUGCUGGGACGGUACUGACGCUGAGACGCGAAAGCGUGGGGAGCAAACAGG